This 65-nucleotide transfer RNA is filed under the name Kaestneriella sp. KaspPE. RNAcentral describes it as "tRNA-Met". Lineage: Eukaryota; Metazoa; Arthropoda; Insecta; Psocodea; Peripsocidae. The record is from RNAcentral.
UAAGAAGUAAGCUAAACUAAAGCUACUGGGCUCAUACCUCAAUUAUAGAAUUACUCUCUUCUUAA